GUUAUAUAGUCAAGUGAUUAAGCGUACACGGUGGAUGCCUUGGCAGCCAGAGGCGAUGAAG
This 61-nucleotide ribosomal RNA is filed under the name Alcanivorax sp. HI0013. RNAcentral's name for it is "partial 23S ribosomal RNA". The record is from RNAcentral. Lineage: Bacteria; Pseudomonadati; Pseudomonadota; Gammaproteobacteria; Oceanospirillales; Alcanivoracaceae.